Molecule: ribosomal RNA, 373 nt
Filed under: uncultured bacterium
Lineage: Bacteria
Description: bacterial SSU rRNA
Rfam family: Bacterial small subunit ribosomal RNA
Source: RNAcentral
AUUUGGAAACAGAUGCUAAUACCGCAAUAAAACCUAACACCGCAUGGUGUAGGUUGAAAGAUGGUUUCGGCUAUCACUUUAGGAUCGGACCCGCGGUGCAUUAGUUAGUUGGUGAGGUAAAGGCUCACCAAGACCGUGAUGCAUAGCCGACCUGAGAGGUAAUCGGCCACACUGGGACUGAGACACGGCCCAGACUCCUACGGGAGGCAGCAGUAGGGAAUCUUCCACAAUGGACGAAAGUCUGAUGGAGCAACGCCGCGUGAGUGAAGAAGGUUUUCGGAUCGUAAAACUCUGUUGUUGGAGAAGAAUGUAUCUGAUAGUAACUGAUCAGGUAGUGACGGUAUCCAACCAGAAAGCCACGGCUAACUACGUG